RNAcentral lists this ribosomal RNA (484 nucleotides) under uncultured bacterium. RNAcentral describes it as "partial 16S ribosomal RNA". It matches the Rfam family "Bacterial small subunit ribosomal RNA", at positions 29 to 507 of the family's 1533-position model. The record is from RNAcentral.
AUUGAACGCUGGCGGCAGGCCUAACACAUGCAAGUCGAGCGGAUGAAGCGAGCUUGCUCCUGGAUUCAGCGGCGGACGGGUGAGUAAUGCCUAGGAAUCUGCCUGGUAGUGGGGGAUAACGUCCGGAAACGGGCGCUAAUCCCGCAUACGUCCUGAGGGAGAAAGUGGGGGAUCUUCGGACCUCACGCUAUCAGAUGAGCCUAGGUCGGAUUAGCUAGUUGGUGGGGUAAAGGCCUACCAAGGCGACGAUCCGUAACUGGUCUGAGAGGAUGAUCAGUCACACGGGAGCUGGGGCGAGCGGCAACCUCCGGAGGGAGGCAGCAGUGGGGAAUAUUGGGGAGUGGGCGGAAGGCUGAAUUAGGCAUGGCGCGGGUGUGAAGAAGGGCUUCGGAGUGUGAAGCACGUUGAGUUGGGAGGAAGGACAGUAAGUUAAUACCUUGCUGUUUGGACGUUAGCGGCAGAAUAAGCACCGGCUAACUUCGUG